This is a long non-coding RNA of Manihot esculenta (cassava), 841 nucleotides long. RefSeq lists it as uncharacterized. The transcript has 3 exons. The record is from RefSeq and is a predicted model, not a curated record. NCBI's taxonomy places the organism in Eukaryota, Viridiplantae, Streptophyta, Magnoliopsida, Malpighiales, Euphorbiaceae.
AAUAAAAAAAAAAAGAAAAGAAAAGAAAAGAGGAAAGAAGAAGAGACUAGAAGUGAAGAGAGAAACCCAUUUUUGUUUUCUCCAUUUUCUUCUCCUUCCUCUGCCGUGAAACCUCCUUUCUCCAUUUGUUUUUCUACACCAAAAUUGCUUCAAAAUUUCACCUCCAAUUAAUUCCCCAUCUUCUCUCAACACCUUUCCAAAGAAGCAUUUGAAGAAAAGAAGGGAAAUCAAAGAGAAAUUUCAAGGGUGAGGGAGAGUGAAUAGUAACCAAGGGUUUGGAAAUUUGAAAGAAGAAGUGGAAGGGAAAGGAAAAGAAAAUGAAAAUUAGGGAAUUUUAAGCUUGUGAAAGAUCUUGGGAAGGUGGUAGAUUCAAAGAGCAGUAGAUCAAGAUCUGCAUCAACCCAGCCAGAAUUACAUCAUCAUCUAUAUUGGGGUAUAUUUUGUAAAUUUUAUAUAAAGUUAAUUUUUGGAAAUAUGGCAUGUACAUAAGGUUUUAGAGAUAAAGUUGAAUAUGGUUUGGAACGGAUAUAGUUAAAUAUUUUAAUUUUGGUGUAAAUGUGGAUGAUUAGUAUAAGUUUAUGUGUUGAGACUAAUGAAAUGUUAUGAAGUGUUUGAUCGAAAUUGAAACUGUUUUGAUGUUGAAAGAAGUUUGGGGGUUAAGGUUGAAAUUGAUAGAAGUGUGAUAUUACUUUUCACAGGUGGAAUUAAGUCCAUAUUUUAGGGGAAACUCUGCCGGAUUUUUGGCUAAAAAAAAAAAAAAAGAAAAGGAAAAAGUAGAGAUAUUAGAUUAUAUAUAUAUAUAUAUAAAAGUCAUGAUUUACAUGAUAUAAAGUAAAGGAAA